Molecule: long non-coding RNA, 1374 nt
Filed under: Vulpes vulpes (red fox)
Lineage: Eukaryota; Metazoa; Chordata; Mammalia; Carnivora; Canidae
Description: lncRNA (ENSVVUG00000017468.1)
Source: RNAcentral
AUGGGAGAAGAAACUGAGGUUCGCUGGGUUCAAGUCCUUUGCCCAAGAUCACACAACCAGGCAGCUUCAAAAUCCAUAAUCUUGUCUCGUCUCCUGCACUUUCCCUGCUUCAUGGCUCCUGUUCGCAGCUCCCUUUAUUUUGGCAGCAGAGGGCUCAGAGCCCGAGGGUGGGACACCUCUCCGAGGUGCAUCUGCGCCCCGGUCUUUGGCGCCGCCUGCCCCGUGCUGUCCUCAAGGCCGAGUGGACACGGCUUCUGGAGCCUCGCCCCCACGUGCCUGCAGCCUUGGGAGCCUCUCAGCCUUGGCUCCUGAGAAUCGAGGUGAAGUGCCUCUUCUCACCAUGGACACACACACAUACACACACACACACACUCGGUCCCCUACCUUGUCCGUAGCCUUCGCCUGUGGGAAGUCCCGCUCUUCUCCUUGAGCUUGGGCCUCUUGGAUUUGAUCAGAGAGUCUGACCAUAAUGUUUACAUCUCAGCUAAAAAAGAAAAAAAAAACAAAGCUGUAAGUCUCCCAGAACACAUACUUGGCCCAGAUUCUCCAAGGCAGGGGCGAUUCCAUGCAGAAAUGCUGUCACACAGGGGGACCCAAAUGGGAGCACCUAAGGGCGGAGGGGCGGGAGGGGAAAGGGUACAGCUGCCGGUGGGUGGGGGCCGAGGGGAGGGGGGCUCCUGCAGCGACGCGGGGGCACACCUGUGUACCACCUGUGCACCCAUGAUUGUGCAUUUGACCACAAAUAAUUGAACGUGUCCAGUGGGCCAGGCGGCGGGGGACUGAGCAGGGACCAAGAUCCAGUGCCGGCUCCCUGGAGCUCAGGGUCAAGUGGAGAGCUGCUGUAUCCUGUUGACACAGGUUGGUCAGAGCCACACGGGGGCUGCGACGUGAGGGGAGGCGCUCAGCCUGGGGGCGCUGGUGACCAGCACGUCUUCUGCACAAACUCUGAGCCUUCUCGCCAACGCCUCAACCUCGGCCUUGGACUUGAACAAGCACUAACAUACUUUCUAACAGCUCAAGGCUGCGUUCCUGGGAUGACUCCCGUCCCCUUAAAGUGCUGCCUGGGAAGAACUCAAGGCUGCCAAGAGAAUUCACUGUUUGUUCCAGCCAACACCUGAUGACAGCCACCUGCCACCGCUGCCUGCCUCCCAGCCUCUGGGGGAGCGCAGCAGCCUGACUUUGGUGAGUACCGGGGAGCAAACCCCGAUGGGGUUCACAUGGACUGACCCGCCUUCCCUCCUCCUAUAAGUUUUCACUGCCCUGUCUCUGCUCAAGCCCCUGCUACCCUGCAGUCACCUCCGCACACAUGCAAGGGCUUCAGCUCUUUCCCCAGCUGGCAGCCGUUGCCAAAUAAAAUCCAUUCUCACUGCUUCA